This 502-nucleotide long non-coding RNA is filed under the name Oryza sativa (Asian cultivated rice). Its description in RNAcentral is "long non-coding RNA (OSAT_LNC001696)". Lineage: Eukaryota; Viridiplantae; Streptophyta; Magnoliopsida; Poales; Poaceae. The record is from RNAcentral.
AUUCUAGCAGUGUUCUACUGGUAAUUCCUCCCUUGUCCGUCCCUCUCAUAAGCCGGCACACCGGCAUUGUAGUUAUCGCCGCCUUGCUGGUAGCUAGGGUUGCCUCCUUGGCCAUGGUAGCCUGGUGCAUAGCCAGGGUUGCCACCUUGGUAAGGAGGCGGGUUGCCGCCCUGGUAACCUGGCCCUCCUCCCUGGUAUCCAGGGUUGUUGCCUUGGUAAGCAGAUGGUGGGGGUGGGGGUGGACCUUGGUAGCCCUGGUUGCUACCUUGAUAGCCAGGGGGUCCACCUUGGUAGCCAGGCGCACCGCCCUGCUGAUAGUUUGUAUAGCCUUGCGGAUUUGGUGCAUGGGGCUGGUAGUUUGGAGGACCUGCAUUUGGUGGUGGAGGUGGAGGAACAUUACCCUGAGCAUGGUGCAUCGGAGGAGCAUCACGAGGCGGGACUGGGCCCUGACCUGGUGGGGGAGGGCUGUUGAAUCCCUGGCCAGGAGGCACAUCUCUGUUCU